UGGGGAAUAUUGCACAAUGGGCGCAAGCCUGAUGCAGCAACGCCGCGUGAGGGAUGACGGCCUUCGGGUUGUAAACCUCUUUUAGCAGGGAAGAAGCGAAAGUGACGGUACCUGCAGAAAAAGCACCGGCUAACUACGUGCCAGCAGCCGCGGUAAUACGUAGGGUGCAAGCGUUGUCCGGAAUUAUUGGGCGUAAAGAGCUCGUAGGCGGUCUGUCGCGUCUGCUGUGAAAUCCCCGAGGCUCAACCUCGGGCCUGCAGUGGGUACGGGCAGACUAGAGUGCGGUAGGGGAGAAUGGAACUCCUGGUGUAGCGGUGGAAUGCGCAGAUAUCAGGAAGAACACCGAUGGCGAAGGCAGUUCUCUGGGCCGUAACUGACGCUGAGGAGCGAAAGCGUGGGGAGCGAACAGGAUUAGAUACCCUGGUAGUCCACGCCGUAAACGUUGGGCGCUAGAUGUGGGGCACCAUUCCACGGUUUCCGUGUCGCAGCUAACGCAUUAAGCGCCCCGCCUGGGGAGUACGGCCGCAAGGCUAAAACU
RNAcentral lists this ribosomal RNA (538 nucleotides) under uncultured bacterium. RNAcentral describes it as "partial 16S ribosomal RNA". It matches the Rfam family "Bacterial small subunit ribosomal RNA", at positions 355 to 901 of the family's 1533-position model. The record is from RNAcentral.